Molecule: transfer RNA, 72 nt
Filed under: Bos indicus (zebu cattle)
Lineage: Eukaryota; Metazoa; Chordata; Mammalia; Artiodactyla; Bovidae
Also listed under: 2 other names
Rfam family: tRNA
About the family: Transfer RNA (tRNA) molecules are approximately 80 nucleotides in length. Their secondary structure includes four short double-helical elements and three loops (D, anti-codon, and T loops).
Source: Rfam by way of RNAcentral
UCCCUUAUAGUUCAAUCAGUAAAGAAUCUGCCUGCAGUGCAGGAGACCCAGGUUCAAUCCCUGGGUUGGGAA